GCAACGAGCGCAACCCUCGUCCUUAGUUGCCAUCAUUAAGUUGGGCACUUUAAGGAAACUGCCGGUGAUAAGCCGGAGGAAGGUGGGGAUGACGUCAAAUCAUCAUGCCCCUUAUGACCUGGGCUACACACGUGCUACAAUGGUUGGUACAACGAGUUGCGAGUCGGUGACGGCGAGCUAAUCUCUUAAAGCCAAUCUCAGUUCGGAUUGUAGGCUGCAACUCGCCUACAUGAAGUCGGAAUCGCUAGUAAUCGCGGAUCAGCACGCCGCGGUGAAUACGUUCCCGGGCCUU
Molecule: ribosomal RNA, 292 nt
Filed under: uncultured Streptococcus sp.
Lineage: Bacteria; Bacillati; Bacillota; Bacilli; Lactobacillales; Streptococcaceae
Description: partial 16S ribosomal RNA
Rfam family: Bacterial small subunit ribosomal RNA
Source: RNAcentral